CACCCCCUGUUUCCUGGCCCAC
This 22-nucleotide microRNA is filed under the name Homo sapiens (human). RNAcentral describes it as "hsa-miR-4640-3p". Lineage: Eukaryota; Metazoa; Chordata; Mammalia; Primates; Hominidae. The record is from miRBase by way of RNAcentral.